GCCCGCCCCUAGCUUGAGUCAGCCCGGCACAGCCCCUUUCCGGCCCUCAGGCCCCAUCCCCAGCCUGGAGUGACACAGCCCGCGCCCCGCCCUAUAUCUCCGCCCCCAGCCUGCAGCCUUAAGGGCACUCCUUGCCCCUCCCCGCCUCCAGGCCCCGCCCCAGGGCUCCCAGCUGCCGGGCCGCGAGCUUCCAGCUGCGGGACUUCCGGCCCCCUUUCUCGCAAGAUGGCGUCCGCUGCAGGGACCUACCAGUCUUGCUUUCCUCUCGCUCUGUUCAGGCAUAUCCUUGGCUCUGCUUUCUGACCAAUCUCAGCCUCAUGUGAUACACCAAUUUCUCUCUUGGUUAGCCUAGGCUUUUCAUAACAGAGUAUAAAACCAAGGACUUAGAACAAGGACUGGAUCUAAAUCCUUUCCCAAAGCAGUGUGAUCUUGACCUUCCGACCUUCCUGAGUUAAAAGCGAUUAAAAUGUAAAGCUAUAGCCCUGCGCUCGGUUUAGAAUGAGGCCAUGGUCGGUGACUGCUAGUAUUUCUCUAAGGAAACUAUGGGCAUAUCCCUCAGUGUACUUUAAAUGGAUAGUGGAAAACUUCCAGUUUCUUGAGGUGAAAGUGCCCUAGAUAUAGUGCUGCACUGUGGAGAACACCUUGGAAUAAGAUGGAAUUGUAUAACCCUAAGUGUGCUGCAACCCCAAAGUGUGCUGUGACUUUAAGAGUGCUGUAACCUAAGUAUAACACAAUAAUGAGUGAUGUGUAAUCAUAAGAUAUGAAAGUAAUGAAAGUAGAACCUUAAGUGGUAUGGAACUGAUAAGGGCGUACCCCCGAAAAUUGGGCAGAGUAUGCCCCAAGCUGGACAGUGUGAUAAGUCUGAACCAAUACCACGAACGCCCAGCUAGAAUAGUAUAAAAGGAGCUGAAGACCCCAAGCAAAUCGACGAUCCGUCCCACCAACCAGUCGACCAGUCAAUCUGAUGAUCUGACUACCGACCGAGACAUCUGCACUCCUGAUCCCGCUGGGAGGAGCAUCGCCGCCGACCAGACGAGACCAGAGGACGAGGCAAGCGGAGAGGCGGAUAGCCUAGCGCUGACUCGACGCCCUUCGUCUACGGAUUGGACCCUCUGACCCUGCGGGAGGAAACGUCGCACUCCCAUUAAGGACUUGCGCAGUACAGGAAAUUUGAAGAAGAAGGCUUAUCUGGCUCAGACUGGUUGAAACCAUGUCUAUCUGCAGGAAGAACAGGCAACAUUCUGAUGUCAGAGGGCAAAACCUGCCUUCAGAGGAAGAUGCUCAACAGCCCAUGGUGUGUAAGCCAAUGUCCACACUUUAUGAGCAGAGAGCUAAGAUGGACCCCGAGGGUGCUGGACACAACAGCAGGAAAUAGGGGUGAGGAGGAAAAACCGGACCAGGGAGAGCUGCCUGCUGUCUGGACACUCCUUGAAGGCCCUCGGGACUCCCCAGGCCCCAGGGGAAAGAUCCUGGAGCAUUACAGAUGAUGUGUGGAGGAGUUCUUUGGAGGUGCAGUGGCCAUCUUCUGACCAUAGAGGGCAAGCUUGAAGAUUAAAACCAAUGUGCUCAGGAUGAAGAUUUGGGAAUGUGGAAAGAGUCCAGUCCUCAGGAAGUCAUGGAGCCAUGGAAGUGCUAAGUAGGAGAAUGGGAACUCCUGAAUCUGAACCUCCUCCUUUGCAGCAAAACAGUCCCCAGGUUUCCAAGUGACUGUAGAAGAUUAGCAGGCAGAGCCAACCUGCAAAUGUGCUACCCCCAGACUUCUUAUUAUGGUUGAUUGUGAGUGUAGUCCACUUUUAGUUGAUCACUUGCAGCUACAAACAACCUAACAGACAUAGUGGGCAUGUUUAAAUAAAUCUCUUUUGUGUUUCUGUUUGCUAUUUUUAAGCCCUUGAUGUAGUGGGGAAAAAAGGUCUAUUAAGUCCUGACCCAACAUUUCGCAUAAAAUUGAACUCACUUAUGCACUUGAAUAGAAUGAAAAUGAUGAUUCAGUUAGCACAAAGCCAUGAAUCAUGAAAACUAAAUUAUUAUGGUAGCUUAUUUUACAUAAAAUCAGCUUUUGAUAGGAUAUAAAUUGAAAAGCACACAAUAUAAGUAGUAGAGGUAGAGGCUUUAAAAUAUCUAUGUUGAUGAUAGGAAAUGAAAUUAAAAUAUUUUGCAAGGAUUAUUCUCAAAGCACAUAACUGAGAACUGACUGAGUGUUGGCAACAAAGGAAAAUUUAUCUCCUGUUACAUGAUGUGGGACAUAACAUUCUUAUUAAGUAGAAUUGGAAUUUUCUGAAUCUCCUUUGCAACAAAACAGCUCCCAAGUUGCAAAUUGAAUCACAAGAUUAGUAGGCAGACUGAUGAGGAUUUAAUUUUUAAAAUAUGCUGUAAUGUUUGAUGUCUAAGAAGCAGCCAUAAAACUGAAGAAGUAAAGGACAGCUGAUGAUCUGCCCUGUCCUUGCUCCUGCUUGUUCUCUUUGCAUUCCCAGACUGUGUUGUUUGGAAGCAAAGCUCUGUUGUUUUCUGGUCAGAAGAUUGCACCUUUGUGCCUGUAGACAAGGUGAUGACAGCCCCGGUUCCAGGAACCCUUGCUCACAAGCCUUCUUUGUGCUGGGCGAGGAAGUUCUAGCUUGGGAUUGCAUGACAUCACCAUGCUCCCACCCACUUCUCUGGAUCCCUCAACUCACAGAGAGUCAUUGUUUGUGGCUUUCGAUCUGAACAGCUGCUGGCUUUUCCUGGCUUCAUCACUGUGAAGAUGGUGAUCGUGCAAUGCUGAUAUCAAGAGAUCUGUGCUGCAGUCGGCCAUGGAUCAGACCAUCAGCCCUGGGCUCUGUUUAGGAAAGUCUGAUCACCAUAGCUGUAGCACAAUGCCUCCCAGCUUCCCUAGCUGGUCAGAGGUUUCCCCCACACAUUUCAUUGUUUUGGGUGCCUUCUUAGGUCGGAUCUCAUCUUCUCUGCCCAAUAAGCAAAAUUCCCCAUGUGUCUUUAGAAGAAUCCUUCUGAAAAGGGAUUUCAAUUUAGGUAAUACUAAAAUUAGGCAAAGUAAGUCAGGAGUCUAACUAUGAAAAGGUACCUAAUGAGAAUUCCAGCUUCACAAUAAAGUUCAAAAUUUUUUAAAAUGCAUGAAGUAUUGCAUUUAAACAGUUGAAUAGAACUUGUUUUGGACAAGCCACUGAAGGGAACACUGCAAAGCUAGCAUUCAGCUUUCAAGAUUAAAGAAGAGCAAAGAGCAACUUCAAAGCCCAUUGGGGAAUCUAUCAUGCUUCCCAAGGUGGCAAGGCAGGUAGUGGACUCACUGCUUCUUCUGACACUGGGGGCUUGGAUGCUGAGUCCAAGGGGCAUGCUUGAAUCUCCAGUAACUUCUGUGGUACUUGAUGGAGGUAGCCAGGUACACCAGAGGAGUUCAGGAGAUAUUCAUGGGCCUUACCUGGAUAACUCUUACCUGGAUCUAAUGUGUCUUCCACACUAGAUCAAUGCAUCUGUAACCAUCUUUCUGUCCAGAGCAGGAAAGCACGCCUGAAAUGCUGUGGAGGAUGUGUAUACUUGAGAUAAUUUUUCAGGAAUGUAGAGCUUUGAUUUCUCGGAUUUUCUUUUUAAAACUAUGAGCAAGAAUAAAAUAAAAUAUAGGAGAGGACAGACAAUCCUUGAGUGUAAGGAGAUGGAUAAUGGCUUGGGGCAGCUGAAUAAAUAAUGUAUAUUUAUCUGGCUCUCUUGACCUUACCCAAGCCUUUUUACAACUACCAGGUGUGUUAUGGACACAUUUUUCUAUGAAGUCAUCAAACUAAAUAGAGUGGAUCCUGAAUGACAAUCAAACCUCUAAAAAAGGAAAGCAAGAAGAAAAGCAUCACCAUCAUUUCCUCUCUGAGAUGUCCUUUGUCUUUGUCGUGGAAGCAUAGACUCAGGGGUGUGAGAUCAGAUUCGAGACUGUGCACUGUCACAUGGCAUUUUGUGCUUUCCGCCCAUCCUCAUUAUGGGCUGCUUGGGUUUGUCCUACACAAGUAACCCUGGUGCUCACUACACCCCAGGAACAAUUCAAUGAUGCUACCACAGUGUUUUGUACCUGGAAUGGGAAGGGCUCGGAAAAUGCUUGAUAAGUAAA
This is a long non-coding RNA of Heterocephalus glaber (naked mole-rat), 4081 nucleotides long. RefSeq lists it as uncharacterized. NCBI's taxonomy places the organism in Eukaryota, Metazoa, Chordata, Mammalia, Rodentia, Bathyergidae. The record is from RefSeq and is a predicted model, not a curated record.